Molecule: long non-coding RNA, 1335 nt
Organism: Macrobrachium nipponense
Lineage: Eukaryota; Metazoa; Arthropoda; Malacostraca; Decapoda; Palaemonidae
Exons: 3
Source: RefSeq, a predicted model, not a curated record
AAAUUUUGCUGGGAAGUUCCAGUUUGGAUAAAGAAAACAUGCCGUCGUGUUCAGGAAGAAAAAGCGAAGGUCACACAAGUUAUCAUUGUCUGUUGUUAAGACCAUUUACUGUAUUAAAGGAACCAGGAUGAAAUAUUUGCCAUGAGGUUUUGUGGAACAGCUUUGUGCUCGGCUAUUACACAAGAUGCCUGAUAAGUAUUUAUUUAAGGCAAGUGAAGACAGUUGUAUGGGGUUUGGUCCUUGAGAAGAAAACAUGUUUCACGUCGAAGGAUGAGCGUAGUUUACCCAUAAUCAGUGGUUGUUGGUCCUGACUAUGAUCUGUUUUGAAGGAACCAGAUAAACUGCAAGUCUGAUGAAGCAUCCGUGCAUCGGGUCUCAAUAAACAAGGCAAGGAAGAAAAGGGCAAUUCCUGCUGGAUUUUUCUUUAUCAAAAGAGCAGAGUGGUGCAAGUCAAAGCUGGUUUUUCUUAUAAUAUUGCAAUUGGAGCUUGAUUCAGUUUUAUCAUAGUCCCUCUAUACAGACUGGGUAGGCAUGUAGGUUGCAUUUUGCAAGCAGCGUGUAUGAGAAACUGCUGAUUGAAUCUUAUUUAAAAGUUAGUUUUUACUGGGAGAUGUCUAGGUAAAUGUUAUUUUUUUGCUAUUCACUUCUCCCUCUAGCUACUGAAACUACUCCAGUAUGAACUUUGAUUGCAAUAUUUCCUUAAAACAGUUCAUCUGCUUUGCUUUCUCAGCUUUUUCAUCAUCCAAGAUAAUUGUAGAGGUACACAGAUGAACAACAUUACUUUUAAGGAACAGACGAGAACUUGUUAUGACUAAGAUGCAACAGCCUUGCCCUUACUUCUCAAUUGGGCUGGUCAGUAAUGUCUGAUCAAAUAAAUGUGGUAAGGUUAGAUCCACAGAGUUCCUUAUUAUAAGAAUCUCAGUUUCUUCGGGACUGGUCAGGAAAGAUAUCUCUGAGUAAAUGAAGUAACUUUUCUGCAUGACUCGGUCACCAGUUUCUAGCGGAUGCUGCUUGCAGCAAGAUGCAACAUACAUGCUAAAAUCUGCUUGUAUCUAGAGACUGAUAAUUUGGAAGGCAGGCUUCAGUAACAAUAUUGUGAAGAUAAGAGCUGUGACCGCUGUCAUUGUGUUCCGUUUGAAGAAGUCAACUCCUGCAUGAUUUGUCCUCUUCUUCCUGCCAUAACUUCAGCUGAAGAUGAGUUACCAGAUAAAGGAAACGAAUGAAGACACUUGUUAGCACCAUUGCUUUGAAGUUCUUGAAUUUCAAGGUGGUCAUCUAUCUGGACACAGGAAGUUCUAAGAAGAUAAAAAAUGAGGACAUUUUAUAAUGAAAUCA